This is a long non-coding RNA of Salmo salar (Atlantic salmon), 716 nucleotides long. RefSeq lists it as uncharacterized. The record is from RefSeq and is a predicted model, not a curated record. NCBI's taxonomy places the organism in Eukaryota, Metazoa, Chordata, Actinopteri, Salmoniformes, Salmonidae.
GCAUAUCUCAAGUUCAAGUUUGAGGUCCAGAUAACUAAAUACAUUCGGGAAAAAUAAUGGGCAAUGUCACUAAAAUUCAGAACAUUGAGAAAGGACAAAAGUUUUGGGCAAAAGGAUGCACAGCCUUUGGCAGGAAAAACAUUCAGUUGGGACAGAAAAAGUCUCCCAUUUAAAUUGUGUUCCAUUUUUAAGACAAAGGCAUAUGAAUCCCACCAGAGGAAAGCCAAAGAGAAAUAUGCUGCUGAAAUGAACAAGGCAGUAAGUUCAAAGACAGAUCACUGUCAUUUAUACCAUACAAUUUGACAUUAUUUUCAUUUUAAUAAUGUUGAAGUACUAACUUACAAUGGAAUGUUCCUCAAUAAAAUGGAAGAAGAUGGGACUUUAAAUGGGUGUCCCAACUCGGUGGUCAAUAAAGAUCCCAUGGGGCGGGGUGCUUAUUGUUCUGUUUUAACUGUAUAUGUUUAUCAAACUGUAAAAAUGUCAAACAAAGUUACUUUGGUGUAGGAUAGGCCAAUAAAACAAAUAUAAAUAAAGAGUAUGUAAGUGGGGUUAGGGUGGUGAGUUUCCCCUUACACUUUAAAGAGCUUUGGGUGUCUAGAAAUGUAACUUCAAUCAAUUAUUAUUAUUACAUGUUUUGCCAUUGUCCAGACCAUGCCCUUGUAGAGAUGGAAACUGGUACGAAAUACCAAAAAGGUGUCAAAUAAAAAUGAAGUGGU